Molecule: ribosomal RNA, 556 nt
Filed under: Moolgarda crenilabis (fringelip mullet)
Lineage: Eukaryota; Metazoa; Chordata; Actinopteri; Mugiliformes; Mugilidae
Description: Crenimugil crenilabis (fringelip mullet) partial 16S ribosomal RNA
Rfam family: Bacterial large subunit ribosomal RNA
Source: RNAcentral
GGUCCCGCCUGCCCUGUGACCCCCAGUUUAACGGCCGCGGUAUUUUGACCGUGCAAAGGUAGCGCAAUCACUUGUCCCUUAAAUGAGGACCUGUAUGAAUGGCACAACGAGGGCUUAACUGUCUCCUUUCCCCGGUCAAUGAAAUUGAUCUUCCCGUGCAGAAGCGGGAAUCCUAACAUAAGACGAGAAGACCCUAUGGAGCUUUAGACUCCAGAAUAGACCAUGUCAGCUACUCCCGUUAAACACAGUAGCAACUAUUGAGCCUCUAUUCUCUGUCUUUGGUUGGGGCGACCACGGGGAAGAAAAAAUCCCCCAUGUGGACCGGGAGCACCAAUCUCACUCCCACAACCACGAGCCACAGCUCUAAUGCGCAGAAUUUCUGACCAUAAAGAUCCGGCAACUAGCCGAUCAACGGACCGAGUUACCCUAGGGAUAACAGCGCAAUCCCCUUUAAGAGUCCCUAUCGACAAGGGGGUUUACGACCUCGAUGUUGGAUCAAGACAUCCUAAUGGUGCAGCCGCUAUUAAGGGUUCGUUUGUUCAACGAUUAAAGUCUU